This is a long non-coding RNA of Xiphias gladius (swordfish), 1206 nucleotides long. RefSeq lists it as uncharacterized. Lineage: Eukaryota; Metazoa; Chordata; Actinopteri; Istiophoriformes; Xiphiidae. The record is from RefSeq and is a predicted model, not a curated record. The transcript has 3 exons.
CAGCAUUUACGCAAAUUGAGUUAUGGUCACUGGCGAGGCUUCUCAGCUGGUUAGCCAAACAUCAGAAAAAGAGAUGAGCAGGAAAACGAGACGAAGAAAACAAGAACAAUUUAUUUCAAGCAUAAAAAUUGCGACAGAACGAAAAUUUGUUUAGGUGUUGCAAUCCUGUUUGUUACGUUUCCAGCAACCUAAUUCCCUCAUUUAAUAAAGCUGAGCACGGUUCCCACAUCAACAACAAAUGCAGGUUCUCAGGUGCUACAUUGAAACCUCAGCACACAGCAUUCCUCACACCAACGGGCCAAAGCUUCACCUGGUCCAUAGGACCAAGCAAUUAUGUGACAGAUUUGUCAGCAUCUCUGUGACAGUGCACAAGUACAAUGAUCUUGUACUUACACCAACACAUGCUCUAAAACCAAUUAGCUUAGACCUAUGGCAGUAAAUCACACAACUAAAGUAUUUGGUCAUAAUUGAAUAUCCGAUGUAAAAAAAAACAGGAACCUUUGAAGUUCUCCAGUUUUUUGUGAUAAACUCAACACAUCGUUGCUGUCAUUCCUGUCUGCACUGGGGUUGGGUGCAUGGGUCUUGUGCUGACAAAAGGCUAUUGUCAUGGUGGCCUGGUAUUACUGAGUCUGAAGCUAGUGUAGCUUCACAGUUUCAUAUAGAAUGUUAGCAUAUGGCUAGCUACAUAUGGUGACAGUUAAGGCAAUUAUUCUCCUCUCAUUGAUCGCUAUCUCUGGCCCCUAUAAGGGGGUAUAACCUCAUUGGUAGGGGUACCCCAAUCCUCCAUCAUCUUUUCAUUUCUCUUUAAUUAAAUCAUCCAUCCACCCAACCAACAAUCAUCAGCUUUUGCUUUUGCUCCAUCUUAUACUCUCAUCAGCCCUCAUCACUUUUGUAUAGUACUAAGCACUCUUUAGCUCAACCUAUCUAAGCUGUGGUCCUUUAUGAGAUCCAUUUAUUUCCUCUGAAUUCAUCUCACAUCUUACCCAUUUCAGCUUAAAUUGUCACAGCCCAGUCCCUGGCCUUAUUUAAAGUCAAAUCCCAACCCCAGUGUAACUUACAAUCUGGCCCAGCGUAGACCACCCUAAAUUCUAUUGGUCAAGCCGCUAGGCAGUUUUUUUGGGGAUUGUUUUGGUUGCAUGGAAUCGGCUUAACCGUGGAGAGGCCAGGCUACCACAAACUGAUGGACUUUGACAAGCGAGGAGUUGG